UACGGAGAGUGCAAGCAUUAAUCGGAAUUAUUGGGCGUAAAGGGCGCGUAGGCGGAUUGGUAAGUCAGAUGUGAAAUUCCGAAGCUCAACUUCGGAGCUGCAUUUGAAACUACCAAUCUAUUGAGGGUUGACGGAGAAAACGGAAUUCCACGUGUAGCGGUGAAAUGCGUAGAUAUGUGGAAGAACACCGGUGGCGAAAGCGGUUUUCUAGUUGAUACCUGACGCUGAGGCGCGAGAGCAAGGGGAGCAAACAGG
This 255-nucleotide ribosomal RNA is filed under the name uncultured Simkania sp. Its description in RNAcentral is "partial 16S ribosomal RNA". It matches the Rfam family "Bacterial small subunit ribosomal RNA", at positions 524 to 776 of the family's 1533-position model. The record is from RNAcentral. Lineage: Bacteria; Pseudomonadati; Chlamydiota; Chlamydiia; Parachlamydiales; Simkaniaceae.